RNAcentral lists this ribosomal RNA (510 nucleotides) under uncultured bacterium. Its description in RNAcentral is "partial 16S ribosomal RNA". It matches the Rfam family "Bacterial small subunit ribosomal RNA", at positions 28 to 507 of the family's 1533-position model. The record is from RNAcentral.
GACGAACGCUGGCGGCGUGCUUAACACAUGCAAGCCGAACGAAGAGCGAUGGAAGCUUGCUUCUAUCAAUCUUAGUGGCGAACGGGUGAGUAACGCGUAAUCAACCUGCCCUUCAGAGGGGGACAACAGUUGGAAACGACUGCUAAUACCGCAUACGAUCUAAUCUCGGCAUCGAGGAUAGAUGAAAGGUGGCCUCUACAUGUAAGCUAUCACUGAAGGAGGGGAUUGCGUCUGAUUAGCUAGUUGGAGGGGUAACGGCCCACCAAGGCGAUGAUCAGUAGCCGGUCUGAGAGGAUGAACGGCCACAUUGGGACUGAGACACGGCCCAGACUCCUACGGGAGGCAGCAGUGGGGAAUCUUCCGCAAUGGACGAAAGUCUGACGGAGCAACGCCGCGUGAGCGAUGACGGCCUUCGGGUUGUAAAGCUCUGUUAAUCGGGACGAAAGGCCUUCUUGCGAAUAGUGAGAAGGAUUGACGGUACCGGAAUAGAAAGCCACGGCUAACUACGUG